GCUGGGUAUGGUGGCACAUGCCUGUAGUCCCAGCUACUCAGGAGGCUGAGGCUGGAGGGUUGCUUGAGUCCAGGAGUUCUGGGCUGUAGUGUGCUAUGCCAAUCAGGUGUCUGCACUAAGUUUGGCAUCAGUAUGGUGACCUCUCGGGAGCAGGGGACUACCAGGUGGCCUAAGGAGGGGUAAACUGGCCCAGGUCAGAAACGGAGCAGGUCAAAACUUCCGUGCUGAUCAGUAGUGGGAUCGCGCCUGUGAAUAGCCACUGCACUCCAGCCUGGGCAACAUAGCGAGACCCCAUCUCU
This 299-nucleotide signal recognition particle RNA is filed under the name Saimiri boliviensis boliviensis (Bolivian squirrel monkey). RNAcentral describes it as "Metazoan signal recognition particle RNA (ENSSBOG00000005106.1)". It matches the Rfam family "Metazoan signal recognition particle RNA". Rfam says of the family: The signal recognition particle (SRP) is a universally conserved ribonucleoprotein. It is involved in the co-translational targeting of proteins to membranes. The eukaryotic SRP consists of a 300-nucleotide 7S RNA and six proteins: SRPs 72, 68, 54, 19, 14, and 9. Lineage: Eukaryota; Metazoa; Chordata; Mammalia; Primates; Cebidae. The record is from RNAcentral.